RNAcentral lists this ribosomal RNA (558 nucleotides) under uncultured bacterium. Its description in RNAcentral is "bacterial SSU rRNA". It matches the Rfam family "Bacterial small subunit ribosomal RNA", at positions 338 to 916 of the family's 1533-position model. The record is from RNAcentral.
CCUACGGGAGGCAGCAGUGGGGAAUAUUGGACAAUGGGCGAAAGCCUGAUCCAGCAAUGCCGCGUGAGUGAUGAAGGCCUUAGGGUUGUAAAGCUCUUUUACCCGGGAUGAUAAUGACAGUACCGGGAGAAUAAGCUCCGGCUAACUCCGUGCCAGCAGCCGCGGUAAUACGGAGGGAGCUAGCGUUAUUCGGAAUUACUGGGCGUAAAGCGCACGUAGGCGGCUUUGUAAGUAAGAGGUGAAAGCCUGGUGCUCAACACCAGAACUGCCUUUUAGACUGCAUCGCUUGAAUCCAGGAGAGGUGAGUGGAAUUCCGAGUGUAGAGGUGAAAUUCGUAGAUAUUCGGAAGAACACCAGUGGCGAAGGCGGCUCACUGGACUGGUAUUGACGCUGAGGUGCGAAAGCGUGGGGAGCAAGCAGGAUUAGAUACCCUGGUAGUCCACGCCGUAAACGAUGAUAACUAGCUGUCGGGGCUCUUAGAGCUUCGGUGGCGCAGCUAACGCAUUAAGUUAUCCGCCUGGGGAGUACGGCCGCAGGUUAAACUCAAAGAAUUGACGG